Molecule: ribosomal RNA, 497 nt
Filed under: uncultured bacterium
Lineage: Bacteria
Description: partial 16S ribosomal RNA
Rfam family: Bacterial small subunit ribosomal RNA
Source: RNAcentral
GAUGAACGCUGGCGGCGUGCCUAAUACAUGCAAGUCGAGCGAACGGACGAGAAGCUUGCUUCUCUGAUGUUAGCGGCGGACGGGUGAGUAACACGUGGAUAACCUACCUAUAAGACUGGGAUAACUUCGGGAAACCGGGGCUAAUACCGGAUAAUAUUUUGAACCGCAUGGUUCAAAAGUGAAAGACGGUCUUGCUGUCACUUAUAGAUGGGUCCGCGCUGCAUUAGCUAGUUGGUAAGGUAACGGCUUACCAAGGCAACGAUGCAUAGCCGACCUGAGAGGGUGAUCGGCCACACUGGAACUGAGACACGGUCCAGACUCCUACGGGAGGCAGCAGUAGGGAAUCUUCCGCAAUGGGCGAAAGCCUGACGGAGCAACGCCGCGUGAGUGAUGAAGGUCUUCGGAUCGUAAAACUCUGUUAUUAGGGAAGAACAUAUGUGUAAGUAACUGUGCACAUCUUGACGGUACCUAAUCAGAAAGCCACGGCUAGCUACGUG